This 253-nucleotide ribosomal RNA is filed under the name uncultured bacterium. RNAcentral describes it as "partial 16S ribosomal RNA". It matches the Rfam family "Bacterial small subunit ribosomal RNA", at positions 524 to 776 of the family's 1533-position model. The record is from RNAcentral.
GACGAACUGUGCAAACGUUAUUCGGAAUCACUGGGCUUGAAGAGUGCGUAGGCGGUUUCGUAAGUAGGGUGUGAAAGCCCCCAGCUCAACUGGGGAACUGCGUCCUAAACUGCGAGGCUGGAGUGAGGUAGGGGUGUGUGGAACUUCCGGUGGAGCGGUGAAAUGUGUUGAUAUCGGAAGGAACACCUGUGGCGAAAGCGGCUCACUGGACCAUAACUGACGCUGAUGCACGAAAGCUAGGGGAGCAAACAGG